UUCCAUUUUAUUUCUGAGGUUACUAUAG
Molecule: non-coding RNA, 28 nt
Filed under: Cricetulus griseus (Chinese hamster)
Lineage: Eukaryota; Metazoa; Chordata; Mammalia; Rodentia; Cricetidae
Source: RNAcentral